RNAcentral lists this unclassified non-coding RNA (162 nucleotides) under uncultured Helotiales. RNAcentral's name for it is "sequence contains ITS1". Lineage: Eukaryota; Fungi; Ascomycota; Leotiomycetes; Helotiales. The record is from RNAcentral.
CAGAGAACAUGCCCUUCAGGGUAUAUCCUCCAACCCUUUGUUUAUAUUCCCUUUGUUGCUUUGGCGGGCCUGUCUCUGGACUGCUGGCUUCAGCUGGCCCGUGCCCGCCAGAGGACCCCAACACUCUUGUAUUUAUGCUGUCUGAGUACUAUGUAAUAGUUA